Molecule: long non-coding RNA, 1794 nt
Organism: Eriocheir sinensis (Chinese mitten crab)
Lineage: Eukaryota; Metazoa; Arthropoda; Malacostraca; Decapoda; Varunidae
Exons: 2
Source: RefSeq, a predicted model, not a curated record
GCACCAUGGCAGGCAGCACCAAGGCCUUUAGUGGCAGUGUUAGUAUUAGUGUACAAGUAACUCUCGAUUUACGCAAGUAUUGUGUCCUUGAAGAGGUCACGUAAAUCAAAAACAAUGUAAAUCAAACAAGAGGCAGGUUUGUACCUUUAUUGCCAACUGUAUCACUCUGACUCCUCUCCCUCUCGUGGUUCCUCCUCUGGCUGCCCUUCCCCUCGUGGUAGCACAGCAGCGAGGGUGUUGUUGUUGUUGUUGAGUAGCGUGGGUACUGUAUUGUUGUUCAAGUGGCGCGCGGGAAGAACUGAGCUCAGCUGUGUGGCCGUGUGAGUCCAGUUGCGUGAGACAUCUGGUGGCCACUCCAUAAAAUAUCGCGUAUAAGUGAAAAAAAACGUGUAAAUUAAACAUUUAUUUGGAUUCUGGACCACGCGUUAUUUCAAAAACACGUAAACCAAACUCGCGUAAAUCGAGAGUUACCUGUACCAGUAUUGGCGAUGACACAUGCUUUGUUGAUCUUAGGGUCACACUACCUCUAAAAUCUUACUAACACAUGCGCUGCCCCACUCCUGUUGACCUUCAGAGGUGUGUAGGUAAGGUGAGAGGCAGAGAGAGACCCGGUGUGCCAGAUGUCCAGAGUGAGGACCGGCAGACACUUGCUAACUCUUAUAAAUCAUAGUUGUUCCACCAUGCCUUGGAGCACCUCUUUGUGAUUGGCCUUAACAUGAGUUGUAUUGAGUAGUGCAACCAGUGACAUAGUUCAGCUGCUAAUAAUUGCGCACUUACAAAAUUAUGGGCCACUGACAGAAGCUCCCCUCCUCCUCCUCCUCCCAGCAGUGAAAGGGUACCAGGUAUUAAUCGAGGGUUGUGUCCCGUCUCCUGGGGUCUGUUCCCUUCUCCUAUAAUUCCUUCCCCCUCUGUCUCUCACCGGCAUAUGACCACAGAUGUUGCGCCGACUGAACGAAACUUUCCAACUUUUCCUCCUCCUCCUCCUCCAACUCUUCCUCUUUUCCGAUACCCUAUGCCCCUGUCCACCCAGCAGUGAAUGGGUACUACCAGGUAUUAAUCGGGGGUUGUGUCCCGUCUCCUGGGGUCUGUUCCCUUCUCCUAUAAUUCCUUCCCCUUCUGUCUCUCUCCGGCAUACGACCACAGAUGUUGCGCCGACUAAACGAAACCUUCCAACUUUUCUUCCUCCUCCUCCUCCUCCUCCUUACCCAUGGGAAGCGACAAACUUGCCUGCUGGGGUUGUUUUAUUCUUUCAAUCUUGUUUGUAUAUUUUUUUUUUAUGUGGGGACAAUAUUACUGCCACAUAUUCCAACAUGGGAGGGACCAGCAUUAUGUGUCUCAGGAAGUCUUUCAUCUACGUACUCUGCCAGGCUCCCUUUCAGUCCUUCUAUAUGCUUCAGCUUUCAUAUAAGUCUUGUGUGGUACUUUGCCUAAUGCCUCAUCCAGGUCUGAGUUCACACAAUCUAGCCAAAUGCCUCUCUCCUGUAACACGUCAAUCAGCCUUGCAUAUACACAACCAGGGUCCCUUUCAGUCCUUCUAUAUGCUUCAGCUUUCAUAUAAGUCUUGUGUAGUACUUUGCCUAAUGCCUCAUCCAGGUCUGAGUUCACACAAUCUAGCCAAAUGCCUCUCUCCUGUAACAUGUCAAUCAGCCUUGGAUCCCUUUCAGUCCUUCUAUAUGCUCCAGUUCUCAUAUUAGUCCUGUGUGGUAGUACUUUGCCUAAUGCCUCAUCCAGGUCUGAGUUCACACAAUCUAGCCAAAUGCCUCUCUCCUGUAACAUGUCAAUCAGCCUUGGAUC